Molecule: unclassified non-coding RNA, 376 nt
Filed under: uncultured bacterium
Lineage: Bacteria
Description: contains 16S-23S intergenic spacer region
Source: RNAcentral
UCCGACUUAACGUCGGCAGUCUCGCAUGAGUCCCCAACUGAAUGCUGGCAACAUGCGACGGGGGUUGCGCUCGUUGCGGGACUUAACCCAACAUCUCACGACACGAGCUGACGACAGCCAUGCACCACCUGUGAAAGUGUCCCGAAGGAAAGCCGUGUUUCCACGGCGGUCAGGAACAUGUCAAACCCAGGUAAGGUUCUUCGCGUUGCGUCGAAUUAAACCACAUGCUCCACCGCUUGUGCGGGCCCCCGUCAAUUCCUUUGAGUUUCAACCUUGCGGUCGUACUCCCCAGGCGGGGUACUUCCUGCGUUAGCGCCGGCACCCAGAGGGUCGCUCCCCCAGGCACCUAGUACCCAUCGUUUACGGCGUGGACUAC